AUGGCUACCAAGAAGGCCACCCGCAAGAAGGUGACCCUCCAGCUGGCCACCCUGUGCAACGUCAGGACCUGCGUGGUGGUGUACGGUGAGGACGAGGCGGUGCCUGAGGUGUUCCCUUCCAACGCCAAGGCAGUGGAUAUGCUGAAUGAAUUCAAGAGUAUGCCGGAGAUGGGGCAUUGCAAGAAGAUGAUGGACCAGGAGGCGUUCCUCACCCAGCGCAUCGCCAAGCUCCGGGACCAGGUCGACAAGGCUCGCCGCGAGUGCUAG
RNAcentral lists this ribosomal RNA (267 nucleotides) under Triticum aestivum (bread wheat). RNAcentral describes it as "partial small subunit ribosomal RNA". The record is from RNAcentral. Lineage: Eukaryota; Viridiplantae; Streptophyta; Magnoliopsida; Poales; Poaceae.